UAUGGCCACAUCACGUUUAAACGUCGGUUCUUGUACGAUCGCCGAAGUUUAGCAACCUCGAGUCCGAUCAGUACCUAGAUGUGUGGCCGCUUGGGAGUACCAGGUGCUGUAAU
This is a non-coding RNA of Acanthosepion pharaonis, 113 nucleotides long. The record is from the annotation of a GenBank genome assembly. NCBI's taxonomy places the organism in Eukaryota, Metazoa, Mollusca, Cephalopoda, Sepiida, Sepiidae.